RNAcentral lists this ribosomal RNA (824 nucleotides) under uncultured Candidatus Saccharibacteria bacterium. Its description in RNAcentral is "bacterial SSU rRNA". It matches the Rfam family "Bacterial small subunit ribosomal RNA", at positions 312 to 1167 of the family's 1533-position model. Lineage: Bacteria; Candidatus Saccharimonadota. The record is from RNAcentral.
ACUGGAACUGAGACACGGUCCAGACUCCUACGGGAGGCAGCAGUGAGGAAUAUUUCACAAUGAGCGAAAGCUUGAUGGAGCAAUGCUGCGUGCAGGAUGAAGGCCCUCGGGUUGUAAACUGCUUUUAUAAGAGAAGAUUAUGACGGUAACUUAUGAAUAAGGGACGGCUAACUACGUGCCAGCAGCCGCGGUCAUACGUAGGUCCCGAGCGUUAUCCGGAGUGACUGGGCGUAAAGAGUUGCGUAGGCGGUCAAGUUAGCGAGCGAUGAAAACUAUCGGCUCAACCGAUAGCUUGUUGUUCGAACUGCUUGACUCGAGAGUAUCAGAGGUCGCUGGAAUUCCUAGUGUAGCAGUGAAAUGCGUAGAUAUUAGGAAGAACACCGAUGGCGUAGGCAGGCGACUGGGAUAUUUCUGACGCUAAGGCACGAAAGCGUGGGUAGCGAACCGGAUUAGAUACCCGGGUAGUCCACGCCGUAAACGAUGGAUGCUAAUUGUUUGAGGUAUCGACCCCUCGAGUAAUAAAGCUAACGCGUUAAGCAUCCCGCCUGUGGAGUACGGCCGCAAGGCUAAAACAUAAAGGAAUUGACGGGGACCCGCACAAGCGGUGGAGGAUGUUCUUUAAUUCGACGUUAAGCGAAGAACCUUACCAGGGCUUGACAUCCCUAGAACUUUUUCGAAAGAAAAAGGUGCCUUCGGGAGCUAGGUGACAGAUCCUGCAUGGCCGUCGUCAGCUCGUGUCGUGAGAUGUUUGGUUAAGUCCAUCAACGAGCGCAACCCUUGUCGUCAGUUGUAUUUUUCUGGCGAGACUGCCCCGGUAACGGGGA